This is an RNA transcript of Arachis stenosperma, 2375 nucleotides long. It is a transcript of the gene named ASC1-like protein, with no coding region annotated. The transcript has 7 exons. NCBI's taxonomy places the organism in Eukaryota, Viridiplantae, Streptophyta, Magnoliopsida, Fabales, Fabaceae. The record is from RefSeq and is a predicted model, not a curated record.
UUAUUUCUUUCUUUCUCCCCACCACAUACCGGCUUCGACAGAUUCAUUGAGAUUUGAGACUGCUGUUUGUUUCCCGGGAAAAUUUCUGAGCCACGUCACCGUCAUCAUCAUCCUCAAUCCCUUCUUGGCCUUAUGGCUGCUGCUGCUUCUUCCUCCUCCUGGGUUCAACAACUCAGUUUGCUUGACUGGCACCAAGAGUCCUACCCUGCAUUUAACGAUUUCUCCGCUGUUCCCUUCUUCGCUCUCUUAUUCCCCUCUGUUCGCUUCUUCCUCGACCGUUUCGUUUUCGAGAAAGUGGCCAGACGAUUGAUUUUCGGAAAGGGGCAUGAGAAACUGGAUCUUCAAACAGAUGAGAGAAGAAAGAAGAUUAGGAAAUUUAAGGAAUCAGCAUGGAAAUGUGUAUAUUUUCUAUCAGCUGAAAUUUUUGCUUUGUCUGUAACUUACAAUGAGCCUUGGUUUACCAAUACAAUAUAUUUUUGGAUUGGGCCGGGAAAUCAAAUCUGGCCAGAUCAAAAGAUUAAGUUGAAACUGAAGGGGCUCUAUAUGUAUGGUGCUGGAUUUUAUGCUUACUCCAUACUCGCUUUAAUAUUUUGGGAAACUAAGCGCUCUGACUUUGGGCUGUCAAUGACCCAUCAUGUUGCUUCUCUGGCUCUCAUUGUGCUAUCUUAUAUGUUUAGGUUUGUUCGUGUUGGAUCAGUAGUUUUGGCUCUUCAUGAUGCUACUGAUGUGUUUCUGGAGACAGGAAAAAUGUCCAAAUACAGUGGGGCUGAGACAAUGGCUAGCAUUGCAUUUCUCCUUUUUGUUAUCUUUUGGACGUUAUUGCGCAUCAUUUACUAUCCAUUUUGGGUUCUUUGGAGUACAAGGUUUGGUUCUGGACUCCAAUAAUGGUUUUCAGUUACUCCAAUUUGAAAACUGUCGAGCAUAUGUGAGUAAAUGGUCAAAUUGGUCUCUGAAAGAUCACGCGAUCUCCAUUUUGGUCCCCGAAAGAUUUUUUUAAUCAAUUUCAUCUCUAAAAGAUUUUAAAUUAGUCACAUUAAUUCUUCCGUCACUACCCUCACUAGAGCCAUUAGCGAAAGCUGACCUGGCACGUUAAAUCACACCUCACCAUAUAAAACAAUAAAUUCGAUUACUACGACAAUGACAAUGAAGACUUUGAGGACGAUGAUGUCGUUUUGGGAGGGUUAAUGAAUACUACGACGACGACGAAGAAGACGAAGAAGGUGGGGAUGAGGAGGGAAUGAUGCCGUUUGAGAAGAUGAGGAAGUGGUUGAAGCACAAACCCAGAGGGUUCGGUGAAAGGGAAGUGUAACACUUCCAUUGAAGACAAGUUGCUCGACGAACUGCAUCAGAGCAGAGAAGUACAGGCUGCUACCUUGAUAAAGCUCAAGAGCGGUGUUGUUAACCCCAAAAACAGUGAAGAAAAGAAGAAAGAUUUAAUUACUUUUGAACACUGGUCGAAUUGUAUUCCACAGAUUGAUUGCUUUUGUGCUAUUGUUCACUUGUUUGUGUUUCAUGUUACUAUGUUUGGUGAAAUAAUACAUGCAUUUUAACUUUUAAGCAAAUUCUGAUGUUUUCUUAAUUUUUCUUCUUAUCCUGAAUUCUUUAAUCUUUGAUGGAAGUGCAGAUUUUAUGGAGCCUGAAAAGAAUAUGGUCAAAGGAAAAUGCUAGGAUCUAGUGUUGUUUAUAUUUUGUUGAUGUUGUUGUUGUUUGUUUGUGCUUGGCAUUUGCAUGAAACAGGGCAUUGUUUUUGGCCACUGUUUACUUCUUUUUUCUGCGGUGUCUACAAUUUGGCAGUUGACUAUUACUGUUGCCAUGAAAUUUUGAAGACACUCUAGUUGUUCCGAUUGGUGGUUGAGUAUGGUUGGUGAACCUGCCGAAAAAGAAGAACAUUCAUAGGGAUCUGAAAUCUGCAUUCAAAGGGAUUCCAGGCAUAGUGAAUAUAGUCCCGGCAGUUAGUUCGAAAACAAUGACGUUGUCGGAUUGUACUAUAGGUCACCGUUCAACACUACUUCUUUGUGGAGAAACAGGGGGAGGUUUUGCUCCGAGAGAACGAAGAAUGGAAUGGAAUGAAUGAGUGUGAGGAACUGAAGAGGUGCAGUGAGUGACAAAUGCACUUUGGGCGAUAACGACGCCGUUUAGCUAUGAAGUUAUUUCUGUAUUCGAUAAGGAGAAGCACCAGAUGGAUGGGCCAAUAUAUUAUUAUGUGUUCAAUACUCUACUCUUCUGUUUGCUUGUUCUAAAUAUUUAUUGGUGGGUUCUGAUGCUUCGGAUGCUUGCUGAUCAAAUCCGAGCAAAAGGAAAAGUUAGUGAAGAUAUUCGCUCUGAUUCUGAAGAUGAUGAUGAUUACAAUGACCAUGAAGAAUGACCAGGAAUAC